UUUUCUUUUUCUUUUCUGUACGAGCGAGAGGAGAGACCCUGCAACACACGCCACCUAUCUUUGUGGGGAGGGAUAAUUGGAGAGCACCAAACAUAUGGAUCAGGGGUGAGAUGGGCUCUUUUCCUGGCUCUGCUCUUCCUUGGAAGUAGCUGAAUGAGCAGACAGCGUGGACAAGUAACGCGUGGGACUGAACUUCAGGGAGGUUACAAGUUUUUCACCUUUUUCAAUGGGAGAACAGCAUCCACAGGACCCCAAACCUCUUCUCACACCGGGCAGAGAGCAGUGAGCAGCGAGCAUCCUCCAUCUGCUGUCCCGCACCGUGAGCUGGAGAUGCUUUUUCCUUCUCUUCUGGGAUCAGUGCUGAAGUUCGGCCACAUUUCUUGGCUCAGUUGGCAGUGAUUAAAAUUCACGGCUCACUUUUGUUUAUAGUUGGUUGUUUACUUUGUUGAAUUUUUAAAAACUUGUUAGAAUGCAAUUGAACACAGAUUCAACAGUAUUUAGGCUUGAAAAAUAAAGAUGCAUUAGAAAGAUGCCUAUUAUGCUUCAGAAUUAUUAAUUGACAUUUUUAUGAUGAAUAAUUAAUCAUUUGAAUAAUUUUCGU
Long non-coding RNA from Pseudopipra pipra, 601 nucleotides. RefSeq lists it as uncharacterized. The transcript has 3 exons. Lineage: Eukaryota; Metazoa; Chordata; Aves; Passeriformes; Pipridae. The record is from RefSeq and is a predicted model, not a curated record.